AGCGAACGCUGGCGGCAGGCUUAACACAUGCAAGUCGAGCGGGCACUUUCGGGUGUCAGCGGCGGACGGGUGAGUAACGCGUGUGAACGUGCCCUCUGGUUCGGAAUAACUCAGGGAAACUUGAGCUAAUACCGGAUACGCCCUUUUGGGGAAAGGCUUGCUGCCGGAGGAUCGGCCCGCGUCUGAUUAGCUAGUUGGUGAGGUAACGGCUCACCAAGGCGACGAUCAGUAGCUGGUCUGAGAGGAUGAUCAGCCACACUGGGACUGAGACACGGCCCAGACUCCUACGGGAGGCAGCAGUGGGGAAUAUUGGACAAUGGGCGCAAGCCUGAUCCAGCCAUGCCGCGUGAGUGAUGAAGGCCUUAGGGUUGUAAAGCUCUUUUAUCCGGGACGAUAAUGACGGUACCGGAGGAAUAAGCCCCGGCUAACUUCGUG
Molecule: ribosomal RNA, 435 nt
Filed under: uncultured bacterium
Lineage: Bacteria
Description: partial 16S ribosomal RNA
Rfam family: Bacterial small subunit ribosomal RNA
Source: RNAcentral